GGUAGUGGUGGCUAAGUGGUUAAUAUGUUGGACUCUUGAUCAGAAGGUCAUGAGUUCAAAUCUCAGCACUGCCA
This is a non-coding RNA of Ameiurus melas (black bullhead), 74 nucleotides long. The record is from the annotation of a GenBank genome assembly. Lineage: Eukaryota; Metazoa; Chordata; Actinopteri; Siluriformes; Ictaluridae.